CAGUCGCCGCGGGAAUACGGAGGGUGCAAGCGUUAAUCGGAAUUACUGGGCGUAAAGCGCACGCAGGCGGUCUGUCAAGUCGGAUGUGAAAUCCCCGGGCUCAACCUGGGAACUGCAUUCGAAACUGGCAGGCUAGAGUCUUGUAGAGGGGGGUAGAAUUCCAGGUGUAGCGGUGAAAUGCGUAGAGAUCUGGAGGAAUACCGGUGGCGAAGGCGGCCCCCUGGACAAAGACUGACGCUCAGGUGCGAAAGCGUGGGGAGCAAACAGGAUUAGAUACUCCGGUAGUCCCUGUCUCUUAUAU
RNAcentral lists this ribosomal RNA (301 nucleotides) under uncultured bacterium. Its description in RNAcentral is "partial 16S ribosomal RNA". It matches the Rfam family "Bacterial small subunit ribosomal RNA", at positions 509 to 809 of the family's 1533-position model. The record is from RNAcentral.